RNAcentral lists this ribosomal RNA (403 nucleotides) under Verrucomicrobiota bacterium. RNAcentral's name for it is "Verrucomicrobia bacterium partial 16S ribosomal RNA". It matches the Rfam family "Bacterial small subunit ribosomal RNA", at positions 355 to 776 of the family's 1533-position model. Lineage: Bacteria; Pseudomonadati; Verrucomicrobiota. The record is from RNAcentral.
UGGGGAAUAUUGCACAAUGGGCGCAAGCCUGAUGCAGCAACGCCGCGUGAGCGAUGAAGGUCUUCGGAUCGUAAAGUUCUGUUGCAGGGGAAGAUAAUGACGGUACCCUGUGAGGAAGCCCCGGCUAACUACGUGCCAGCAGCCGCGGUAAUACGUAGGGGGCUAGCGUUAUCCGGAUUUACUGGGCGUAAAGGGUGCGUAGGUGGUCUUUCAAGUCGGUGGUUAAAGGCUACGGCUCAACCGUAGUUAGCCUCCGAAACUGGAAGACUUGAGUGCAGGAGAGGAAAGUGGAAUUCCCAGUGUAGCGGUGAAAUGCGUAGAUAUUGGGAGGAACACCAGUAGCGAAGGCGGCUUUCUGGACUGCAACUGACACUGAGGCACGAAAGCGUGGGUAGCAAACAGG